Molecule: ribosomal RNA, 522 nt
Filed under: uncultured bacterium
Lineage: Bacteria
Description: bacterial SSU rRNA
Rfam family: Bacterial small subunit ribosomal RNA
Source: RNAcentral
AGAGUUUGAUUCUGGCUCAGGAUGAACGCUAGCUACAGGCUUAACACAUGCAAGCGAGGGGCAGCAUGGAGUCAGCUUGCUGACUUUGAUGGCGACCGGCGCACGGGUGCGUAACACGUAUCCAAUCCGCCCGUUACUCGGGGAUAGCCUUUCGAAAGAAAGAUUAAUACCCCGAUGGCUUCACACCGCCGCAUGGCGUUGUGAAUAAAGAUUCAUCGGUAACGGAUGAGGAUGCGUCCGAUUAGGUAGUAGGCGGGGUAACGGCCCACCUAGCCGACGAUCGGUAGGGGCUCUGAGAGGAGGAUCCCCCACAUUGGAACUGAGACACGGUCCAAACUCCUACGGGAGGCAGCAGUGAGGAAUAUUGGUCAAUGGGCGAGAGCCUGAACCAGCCAAGUAAGCGUGAGGGACGACUGCCCUAUGGGUUGUAAACCUCUUUUGUUUGGGAAUAAAGCGGGCCACGCGUGGCCUUUUGUAUGUACCUUACGAAUAAGCAUCGGCUAAUUCCGUGCCAGCCGCGGC